GGCGAUCAGAUACCGCCCUAGUUCUGACCAUAAACGAUGCCAACUAGCGAUCUGCCGGUGGAAUUUUUGCCCUGGUAGGGAGCUUCCCGGAAACGAAAGUCUUCCGGUUCCGGGGGAAGUAUGGUUGCAAAGCUGAAACUUAAAGGAAUUGACGGAAGGGCACCACCAGGAGUGGAGCCUGCGGCUUAAUUUGACUCAACACGGGAAAACUCACCCGGCCCGGACACCGUGAGGAUUGACAGAUUGAUAGCUUUUUCAUGAUUCGGUGGAUGGUGGUGCAUGGCCGUUCUUAGUUCGUGGAGCGAUUUGUCUGGUUUAUUCCGAUAACGAGCGAGACUCUAUCCUACUAAAUAGUGUGCCCAUUGCCUCUGUGGGUGGCACUUCUUAGAGGGAUUUUCGGUGUACAGCCGCACGAAAAAGAGCAAUAACAGGUCUGUGAUGCCCUUAGAUGUCCGGGGCUGCACGCGCGCUACACUGGCGAAAUCAGCGUGCCUGUCCUUUCUCGAAAGAGAUUGGUAAACCAAUCAAAAUUUGCCGUGAUUGGGAUCGGAAAUUGCAAUUAUUUUCCGUGAACGAGGAAUUCCAAGUAAAUGCGAGUCAUCAACUCGCGUUGAUUACGUCCCUGCCCUUUGUA
Molecule: ribosomal RNA, 634 nt
Filed under: Anguina pacificae
Lineage: Eukaryota; Metazoa; Nematoda; Chromadorea; Rhabditida; Anguinidae
Description: SSU rRNA
Rfam family: Eukaryotic small subunit ribosomal RNA
Source: RNAcentral